GACGAACGCUGGCGGCGUGCUUAACACAUGCAAGUCGAACGGUGAAGGGACUGGUUUUGCUGGUCCUGGAUGAGUGGCGAACGGGUGAGUAACACGUGAGUAACCUGCCCCCUUCUUCUGGAUAACCGCAUGAAAGUGUGGCUAAUACGGGAUAUUCUGGGUCUGUCGCAUGGUGGGCCUGGGAAAGAUUGCGCCUUUUUUGGUGUUUUUGGUGGGGGAUGGGCUCGCGGCCUAUCAGCUUGUUGGUGGGGUGAUGGCCUACCAAGGCGGUGACGGGUAGCCGGCCUGAGAGGGUGGACGGUCACACUGGGACUGAGACACGGCCCAGACUCCUACGGGAGGCAGCAGUGGGGAAUAGUGCACAAUGGGCGCAAGCCUGAUGCAGCGACGCCGCGUGAGGGAGGGAGGCCUUCGGGUUGUGAACCUCUUUCGCCAGUGAAGCAGGCCUGCCUCUUUGUGUGGGUGGGUUGACGGUAGCUGGAGAAGAAGCGCCGGCUAACUACGUG
This 506-nucleotide ribosomal RNA is filed under the name uncultured bacterium. RNAcentral describes it as "partial 16S ribosomal RNA". It matches the Rfam family "Bacterial small subunit ribosomal RNA", at positions 28 to 507 of the family's 1533-position model. The record is from RNAcentral.